GAUGAACGCUGGCGGCGUGCCUAAUACAUGCAAGUCGAGCGAACGGACGAGAAGCUUGCUUCUCUGAUGUUAGCGGCGGACGGGUGAGUAACACGUGGAUAACCUACCUAUAAGACUGGGAUAACUUCGGGAAACCGUAGCUAAUACCGGAUAAUAUUUUGAACCGCAUGGUUCAAAAGUGAAAGACGGUCUUGCUGUCACUUAUAGAUGGAUCCGCGCUGCAUUAGCUAGUUGGUAAAGUAACGGCUUACCAAGGCAACGAUGCAUAGCCGACCUGAGAGGGUGAUCGGCCACACUGGGACUGAGACACGGUCCAGACUCCUACGGGAGGCAGCAGUAGGGAAUCUUCCGCAAUGGGCGAAAGCCUGACGGAGCAACGCCGCGUGAGUGAUGAAGGUCUUCGGAUCGUAAAACUCUGUUAUUAGGGAAGAACAUAUGUGUAAGUAACUGUGCACAUCUUGACGGUACCUAAUCAGAAAGCCACGGCUAACUACGUG
Molecule: ribosomal RNA, 497 nt
Filed under: uncultured bacterium
Lineage: Bacteria
Description: partial 16S ribosomal RNA
Rfam family: Bacterial small subunit ribosomal RNA
Source: RNAcentral